UAUAUUAUGUCUGUGGACGUGACCGGAUCCCGGCUUUUCGACUUUUUUCCCUUACAUAUUUUCAAACGGUGUUACUUUUAUAGUUUUAUAGUUUGGUAUCAUAUCCUUGGCCGAGCAGCAUAUAAUUAAUGCUGUACGAAUAACUGCUGUUCAUUUAGAGUUCAUACAUUAUUACCAUAGGUGGUGGAUCAUACCUAGGCUUCCAAACCCCAAAGUAUUCAUGGCUGUUAUGAUUGAGUGGAUCAAUACCAUUGGACCUGAGUAUUUUGAUGGGUUGGAUUCAAAAACCAUUUAUCUCACCAAACAAAUUUGUUUAAACUAUUUUACGUUUAAAAGGUUACAGUUUUGGAACAAUACAACUAUACAAAAAUAGUAUUCCCACUUUCAAUCCCUCAAUUUCAAUAGAUAUAGUGUAGCAGACUGUGCCUAAGACUGUAUGUGCCAUACACCGAUAAGCAUCUACGCUAUUUAAUCAGCAAUGCAAUCCACAGAGAAAGUGGAUACAGAGAUUUUAUAUUCAAUAUCCGUAGCCCUUCAGCAUCCGAUAUGAAUCAGGUUUUGAAUUACUUCAUUGUGAUAAUGAAAAUGAUUUAAUGCUUGAUGGUAGUGCUGAUUAUGCUAAGCUGGCAUUGGGUAUGCUGAUGUUGCUGAUGUUUUUUACUAGUAAGAGAAAUAGAUUUAUUAUGCAAAAUCUGUAUAAAACGGUCAAGUCUGUGAAGAUCAAAAUGCAAAUCAUUAUAUGCAGAUAGUGUCCUAUUGACUAAGCAACUAUGGUGAAUGAUAAAAAAGAGAUGUCUCAUCUACAAUGUUUCGCCUGCCAAAAAUGUGUCUGACAAUAUUUUGAAUUCUAAACCAUCAAGUCGCAUGACAACUGCUACAACUAUUUUUGAGUCCACUGGUUUGAAAGUUGUAGCUUAUAUUUGUGACCACUGACAUGACAGAAAAAAAUAUAUUGAAGAACGAUACAAAUACACAUUAUUGACGUAGAAACUUGAAGAUUAAAUAUGACCUAAAUAAUGAAAUUAAUUGUGGUACUUGAUGUUUGGAAAUAAUGCAUUGAUAUGACCCACUUUUGAUGACCAUUCACUUAUUAAAACGAUAAGAAACAAUAUGUGUGAUUAAAAUGUUAACACAAUAAAUGGUGAAUAAAAAGAAGCAAGUUUGGAUCAUAUUGUUGGUUUAUAUAAAAUUGACAGCAAUAUUCCAGACCAAGAUUAACACUGAAACAUGUAAGCUCAAUGUAAAAUGAGAAAUGCUACUCAAGUGCUGAGUGAAUGAGUAUCCUCAAUUAUGGCAUAUUCAUUAAGUGAGUUUUAUUGUUUAUUGUAAAAAAUAAAUUUUUAAUAUUUUCUGGCACGGUGUUAUAUACACAAGCCCACCAAAAAAAUAACCUUUCUGCGCGGUGGGACAAAUAGUAUACCACCUAUUUACCAUCUGAUGAUGGACAACAGGAGUUAGACAACUCGGGCGAUGAUGAAACAUAUUUUCCAAAGCUUUCGGUUCCAACCUGAAUUCCAAAAGAAGACGCCAACUACGAUAAAUUGUACAAGAUAAGGCCAUUUCUCAAUUUAAUUUAAACAAAUAGUCAGGCAGUAUACAAUCCAAAUAAAAUAGUAGCUAUAGAUGAAUCAAUGAUAAAAUUUAAAGGAUGUCAUUCAUCAAAGCAAUAUAUGCCUAAAAAACCCAUUAAAAAAGGAUAUAAAGUAUGGGCUUUGGCAGACAAGUACCUUUGGAAUUUUGAUGUCUGUACAGGAAAGUCUGGUGGUACGGUAGAAAAAAAUUUGGGAGCACAUGUAGUGAAAAACUUAUCUGCACCACUUAAAAAUAAAAACUAUUUUUUAUACCUUGACAACUAUUUAACUAGUUACCCGCUUAUGUCGUACUUGAAAUCAAAUGGGAUUUAUGCUUGUGGAACAGUAAACAUGACAAGAAAACAUUUGCCACAGCUAAAAGAUGACAAGUCCUUAAAACAAGGAGAAUAUGAUUGGAAUACCGAUCAAUUUUCAAUAUCUAUUAUUAAAUGGAAAGAUAAAUGAUCAAUUAAUCUUUUAUCUAAUUUCCAUAAUCCAACUGACACUGAUAUUGUGCCUAGAAGAGCUAAAGAUGGAACUUUGACAAUGAUACCUUGCUCGAAAGUUUUAUAAGACUAUAAUGAAAACAUGAAUUGCGUUGAUAAAUUAGAUUAAAACAAAAAGUCCUGCCAAAUUGACUGCAAAAGCCAAAAAUGGUGGGACUGUAUAUUUUUUUUAUUUCAUCGAUAUAGCAGUUGUAAAUUCACAUGUUAUAUAUACACAAUCCACUGGAACAACAAUAACUAUGAAAAACUUCCGACGUGAUAUUUCAAGGGAGCUACUAAACAAAACAAUUGUUUGUAAACGUCAAUCUAAAAGCACUAAAAAAUCACCAGCAGAAAUUAAAAAACACAAGCCUUUUGUACCUGACUCUCUUUGUUUGGAAAAAUCAGAUCAUCAACCAAAAAUAUCGACAAGAAGAAGAUGUGCAAAAUGCAGCACAAGAGAAAAAGAAGUUAGAAUUGAGUGGAUGUGUUCAGUAUGUAACGUUCCACUUUGCAUUACAAAAACCCAAAACUUAUUUGCUGAUCAUCAUAAGUAAAACUGUUUGAAGUCAGUGCAAGCCAAUAAUGAAACAUAUAAACAUAUAAGCAAAUAUAAUAGUAGUAGUAGUAGUA
Molecule: long non-coding RNA, 2689 nt
Organism: Myzus persicae (green peach aphid)
Lineage: Eukaryota; Metazoa; Arthropoda; Insecta; Hemiptera; Aphididae
Exons: 6
Source: RefSeq, a predicted model, not a curated record